CUGGUUGAUCCUGCCAGUAGUCAUAUGCUUGUCUCAAAGAUUAAGCCAUGCAUGUCCAAGUACAAGCCUCAGUAAGGUGAAACCGCGAAUGGCUCAUUAAAUCACACCUGAUAUACUGGACGUUGCCAGUUACUUGGAUAACUGCGGUAAUUCUGGAGCUAAUACAUGCCCUGCAGCCCCGAACUUGCGUGAGGGGCGCUUUUAUUAGACCAAAACCAAACGGCCUCUGGCCGUCCCCCUGGUGACUCUGAAUAACUUUUCGCUGAUCGCACGACUUGACGUCGGCGACGUGUCCUUCUAAGGUGUGCCCUAUCAACUGUCGACUGUGGCAUAGACGCCCACAGUGGUUUUGACGGGUAACGGGGAAUCAGGGUUCGAUUCCGGAGAGGGAGCCUGAGAAACGGCUACCACUUCUAAGGAAGGCAGCAGGCACGCAAAUUACCCACUGGCCGAAGGCCGAGGUAGUGACGAAAAAUAACGAUACCGGACUCAUCCGAGGCCCGGUAAUCGGAAUGAGUACACUUUAAAUCCUUUAACGAGGAACCAUUGGAGGGCAAGUCUGGU
This 564-nucleotide ribosomal RNA is filed under the name uncultured eukaryote. Its description in RNAcentral is "SSU rRNA". It matches the Rfam family "Eukaryotic small subunit ribosomal RNA", at positions 4 to 565 of the family's 1831-position model. The record is from RNAcentral.